Non-coding RNA from Triticum aestivum (bread wheat), 115 nucleotides. Lineage: Eukaryota; Viridiplantae; Streptophyta; Magnoliopsida; Poales; Poaceae. The record is from Rfam.
CUACUACUCCCUCCAUCCGAGAAUACUUUUCAUCGAAAUGGAUGUAUCUAGAUGUAUUUUAGUUCUAGACACAUCCAUUUUGAUGACAAGUAAUUCCGGAUAGAGGGAGUACUAU